AUUGAACGCUGGCGGCAGGCCUAACACAUGCAAGUCGAGCGAGCGGCGGACGGGUGAGUAAUGUAUGGGGACUGCCCGAUAGAGGGGGAUAACUACUGGAAACGGUGGCUAAUACCGCAUACUAUCGGAUAACCCAUAUGGGAUUAGCUAGUAGGUGGGGUAAAGGCUCACCUAGGCGACGAUCUCUAGCUGGUCUGCGAGGAUGAUCAGCGACACUGUGACUGCGACCCGGCCCAGACUCGUACGGAGGCAGAAGUGGGUAAUAUUGCACAAUGGGCGCAAUCCUGAUGCAGCCAUGUAGCGUGCAGGAUGACGGCCCUUGGGUUGUAAACUGCUUUGUAUGGGGAUAAGUUACCAUAUGAAUAAGGACCGGCUAAUUCCGUGCCAGCAGCCGCGGUAAUAC
Molecule: ribosomal RNA, 403 nt
Filed under: uncultured bacterium
Lineage: Bacteria
Description: partial 16S ribosomal RNA
Rfam family: Bacterial small subunit ribosomal RNA
Source: RNAcentral